GUCAGCGGUAAAAAUUCGAGGCUCAACCCCGUCCGCGCCGUUGCAACUGGGGGCCUUGAAGUGGGCGGGAAGAAGGCGGAAUGGGUGGUGUAGGCGGUGAAAUGCAUAGAUAUCACGCGGAACCCCGAUUGCGAAGGCAGCUUUCCGGCGCCCUACUGACGCUGAGGCACGAAAGUGCGGGGAUCGAACAGGAUUAGAUACCCUGGUAGUCCGCACAGUAAACGAUGGAUGCCAGCUGUCCGGGCCGAAUGGGGCCUGGGUGGCAAAGCGAAAGCGUUAAGCAUCCCACCUGGGGAGUACGCCGGCAACGGUGAAACUCAAAGGAAUUGACGGGGGCCCGCACAAGCGGAGGAACAUGUGGUUUAAUUCGAUGAUACGCGAGGAACCUUACCCGGGCUCAAACGCGUCAGGGAUCCCCUCUGAAAGGAGGGGAGUCAGCAAUGACCUGGCGCGAGGUGCUGCAUGGUUGUCGUCAGCUCGUGCCGUGAGGUGUCGGCUUAAGUGCCAUAACGAGCGCAACCCCUACCGACAGUUGCUAACUGGUGAAGCAGAGGACUCUGUCGGGACUGCCGGCGCAAGCUGCGAGGAAGGCGGGGAUGACGUCAAAUCAGCACGGCCCUUACGUCCGGGGCGACACACGUGUUACAAUGGCAGGUACAGCGGGAAGCCACCGGGCGACCGGGCGCGGAACCCGAAAACCUGUCUCAGUUCGGAUCGGAGUCUGCAACCCGACUCCGUGAAGCUGGAUUCGCUAGUAAUCGCGC
RNAcentral lists this ribosomal RNA (764 nucleotides) under uncultured bacterium. Its description in RNAcentral is "bacterial SSU rRNA". It matches the Rfam family "Bacterial small subunit ribosomal RNA", at positions 587 to 1347 of the family's 1533-position model. The record is from RNAcentral.